RNAcentral lists this ribosomal RNA (403 nucleotides) under uncultured bacterium. RNAcentral describes it as "partial 16S ribosomal RNA". It matches the Rfam family "Bacterial small subunit ribosomal RNA", at positions 29 to 526 of the family's 1533-position model. The record is from RNAcentral.
AAUGAACGCUGGCGGCAGGCCUAACACAUGCAAGUCGAGCGAGCGGCGGACGGGUGAGUAAUGUAUGGGGACUGCCCGAUAGAGGGGGAAAACUACUGGAAACGGUGGACAAUACCGCCUACUGACGGAUAACCCAUAUGGGUUUAGCUAGUAGGUAAGGUAAUGUCUUACAGAGGCGACGAUCCCUAGCUGGUCUGAGAGGAUGAACAGCCCCACUGGGACUGAGACACGGCCCAGACUCCUACGGAGGCAGCAGUGGGGAAUAUUGCACAAUGGGCGCAAGCCUGAUGCAGCCAUGCCGCGUGUAUGAAGAAGGCCCUAGGGUUGUAAAGUACUUUCAGUCGGGAGGCGUUACCGACAGAAGAAGCAACGGCUAACUCCGUGCCAGCAGCCGCGGUAAUAC